RNAcentral lists this ribosomal RNA (731 nucleotides) under uncultured Actinomycetes bacterium. RNAcentral describes it as "bacterial SSU rRNA". It matches the Rfam family "Bacterial small subunit ribosomal RNA", at positions 549 to 1276 of the family's 1533-position model. The record is from RNAcentral. Lineage: Bacteria; Bacillati; Actinomycetota; Actinomycetes.
AAUUAUUGGGCGUAAAGAGCUCGUAGGCGGUUUGUUCGCGUUCUAUCGUGAAAGUCCGAGGCUCAACCUCGGAUCUGCGGUGGGUACGGGCAGACUAGAGUGAUGUAGGGGAGACUGGAAUUCCUGGUGUAGCGGUGAAAUGCGCAGAUAUCAGGAGGAACACCGAUGGCGAAGGCAGGUCUCUGGGCAUUAACUGACGCUGAGGAGCGAAAGCAUGGGGAGCGAACAGGAUUAGAUACCCUGGUAGUCCAUGCCGUAAACGUUGGGCACUAGGUGUGGGGGACAUUCCACGUUUUCCGCGCCGUAGCUAACGCAUUAAGUGCCCCGCCUGGGGAGUACGGCCGCAAGGCUAAAACUCAAAGGAAUUGACGGGGGCCCGCACAAGCGGCGGAGCAUGCGGAUUAAUUCGAUGCAACGCGAAGAACCUACCAAGGCUUGACAUGUGCCAGACCGCCGUGGAAACACGGUUUCCCCUUUGGGGCUGGUUCACAGGUGGUGCAUGGUUGUCGUCAGCUCGUGUCGUGAGAUGUUGGGUUAAGUCCCGCAACGAGCGCAACCCUCGUUCUAUGUUGCCAGCACGUGAUGGUGGGGACUCAUAGGAGACUGCCGGGGUCAACUCGGAGGAAGGUGGGGACGACGUCAAAUCAUCAUGCCCCUUAUGUCUUGGGCUUCACGCAUGCUACAAUGGCCGGUACAAUGGGUUGCGAUACUGUGAGGUGGAGCUAAUCCCA